Micropterus dolomieu (smallmouth bass) is the source of this 1115-nucleotide long non-coding RNA. RefSeq lists it as uncharacterized. The record is from RefSeq and is a predicted model, not a curated record. NCBI's taxonomy places the organism in Eukaryota, Metazoa, Chordata, Actinopteri, Centrarchiformes, Centrarchidae. The transcript has 7 exons.
AACAUUCUCAGCACAAAAACACCAGGUCACCAGUCCAAGACGCCACCAUGCGGCAGACGUCAGCUAUAACGUUAAUGUUGGAGAGUAGGCCUACUGGUUUCAAUGGGAGGCAUUAUGUAAUCCCACAACGAGACAUCAUUUGGAGUUGGUUUUGCCCUGGAUGCACACGUGUUCAGCUGGAUUGACAUCUGAGUGUGAAGGCCAUUGCAUAUGGUAGCCUACACAAUAUAACAUAAUAGAGACGUUUUAUCAGGAUUGUCCACGGAUGAGACUGGCUGGGGUUCUUAUGUCGGCCUUCUUCAGGCCCCGGGCUAAAAUACCAUGCCGCACCAUCUGGGACUGUUGCAGGGAUUGGACACUUCUUUGAACCUGCUUUCAAAGACAGCGGUCCCCACCACCGCGUAUCUCAGGUCGUUGUUGUGAAUCUGUAUAGGCAGAAACAAACUAUAAAUGCAAACAUUUAUCUUCUGCAGCCUGCAGCCCUCUGUCAAUGUUGAGCCCUGGAUUCAAACUAGCGAGCAGGAAAUGUGCAAAGCGAAUUCAGUAACAAAAUUUCUGUGGAUGUACAGCACCACCUGAUGGACUCAGAGCUCCAGAACAGUACAUGAAGAUGAGGAAUGACAACCCUAACACUGAACCAUUAGGAGACUGGACUUUUCUUACCACUGGAAGGGGUGAGAAAAGUCUACCUGCUCUUUACAAAGACAACACUAAAAAGGAUGACUGGAUGGGGAACAAGCUCCUGCUACAUCUCUGUGGCCGGGACCAUUUGUUUUGACUGAACAUGAAUCAGAAUCAGAAUCAGUUUUAUUGCCAGACUGCUGGUGGGUGUGGUCGCCAGUGCUCUGGUCUACUCACCUGAGGCUCCUCACAGCAAUCAAGCACACCUGUUCCACAUCCUGCAAUCUACUCAGCUAUAAAAGCCAGACCAACCAUCAAGUCCCUGCUGGAUUGUUGUACUGCUCACCUGGACCCCGGACUCGCAGAACUCACCAUCACCACAAGACCCAGAGCACUGGAACCCAGAACACAAACCCUCUGACCAACCAGAACAUCAACCGUCCAGCCCUCAUCUCUGUUUGCACUUGUCUUGAAUAAAUUCUUCUUUAACUGAA